Molecule: ribosomal RNA, 329 nt
Filed under: uncultured eukaryote
Lineage: Eukaryota
Description: partial 18S ribosomal RNA
Rfam family: Eukaryotic small subunit ribosomal RNA
Source: RNAcentral
CCCUUAGAUGUUCUGGGCCGCACGCGCGCUACACUGAUGCAUUCAACGAGUCUAAAACCUGCUCUGAUAGGGGUGGGUAAUCUUUUGAAUGUGCAUCGUGAUUGGGAUAGAUGAUUGCAAUUUUUCAUCUUCAACGAGGAAUGCCUAGUAAACGCAAGUCAUCAGCUUGCAUUGAUUACGUCCCUGCCCUUUGUACACACCGCCCGUCGCUCCUACCGAUUGAAUGAUCCGAUGAAUAUCAUGGAUUGAGGAUGCAAGUAGGUUAGCCUAUCUUCAUCUUCGAGAAGUGAAGUAAAUCUUAUCAUUUAGAGGAAGGAGAGGUCGUAACA